Long non-coding RNA from Panthera uncia (snow leopard), 253 nucleotides. RefSeq lists it as uncharacterized. The transcript is spliced from 2 exons. The record is from RefSeq and is a predicted model, not a curated record. NCBI's taxonomy places the organism in Eukaryota, Metazoa, Chordata, Mammalia, Carnivora, Felidae.
CCCUUUCACCCUUGAUCCAUUCAUACUGGUAUUUGUCUGGACUGGGGUUCUUAAUCACACGAUCAUCUUGGAUUCACCUGGGCUUUUGAAGCAAUCUUGGCACUGACUUACUUUAUCCCUGAGAGUAUUACUGAAACUAUUUUAAAAGGAUGAUAUUCAGUAUAACGGCUGAAACACAAAAUAGUACAGAUAUUCUAUUAUCUAUAGAUUUAUGGAAACUACUAAACAUGACCUACAAGCAUGCUUCCAAUUA